Molecule: ribosomal RNA, 504 nt
Filed under: uncultured bacterium
Lineage: Bacteria
Description: bacterial SSU rRNA
Rfam family: Bacterial small subunit ribosomal RNA
Source: RNAcentral
AUCCUGGCUCAGAUUGAACGCUGGCGGCAGGCCUAACACAUGCAAGUCGAAUGGUAACAGGAAACAGCUUGCUGUUUCGCUGACGAGUGGCGGACGGGUGAGUAAUGUCUGGGAAACUGCCUGAUGGAGGGGGAUAACUACUGGAAACGGUAGCUAAUACCGCAUAACGUCGCAAGACCAAAGAGGGGGACCUUCGGGGCCUCUUGCCAUCAGAUGUGCCCAGAUGGGAUUAGCUAGUAGGUGGGGUAACGGCUCACCUAGGCGACGAUCCCUAGCUGGUCUGAGAGGAUGACCAGCCACACUGGAACUGAGACACGGUCCAGACUCCUACGGGAGGCAGCAGUGGGGAAUAUUGCACAAUGGGCGCAAGCCUGAUGCAGCCAUGCCCGCGUGUAUGAAGAAGGCCUUCGGGUUGUAAAGUACUUUCAGCGGGGAGGAAGGGAGUAAAGUUAAUACCUUUGCUCAUUGACGUUACCCGCAGAAGAAGCACCGGCUAACUCCGUG